Molecule: non-coding RNA, 306 nt
Organism: Oryzias latipes (Japanese medaka)
Lineage: Eukaryota; Metazoa; Chordata; Actinopteri; Beloniformes; Adrianichthyidae
Source: RefSeq, a predicted model, not a curated record
GCGGGAACGAGAACGUAAACAUCAACCAUGGUGGACGAUGCUGCUGAGACCAGACCGUGGAAGGGAAGCAGGAUGACUUCUUCGGGCCUGCAGGAGGAAGAGGAGGAUGGCCGGGGAGGUGCGAGAAAGUUUUGUGGGAAGUAGAGAAGAAAGUGGAGACCUUUGACGGCUGGAUCGGCACGUCACAGGCUCACAGAUGAAAGCCAGGCUGCAGACGGGGUCGUGCUGGAGACGUCUUUACUCUGCAAGUUUCUUUCACAUGCUGAUAACCCCCCCUAUGCAUAAAAAACAAAAACUCCUUUUAAA